UGUCUGGGAAACUGCCUGAUGGAGGGGGAUAACUACUGGAAACGGUAGCUAAUACCGCAUAACGUCGCAAGACCAAAGUGGGGGACCUUCGGGCCUCAUGCCAUCAGAUGUGCCCAGAUGGGAUUAGCUAGUAGGUGGGGUAACGGCUCACCUAGGCGACGAUCCCUAGCUGGUCUGAGAGGAUGACCAGCCACACUGGAACUGAGACACGGUCCAGACUCCUACGGGAGGCAGCAGUGGGGAAUAUUGCACAAUGGGCGCAAGCCUGAUGCAGCCAUGCCGCGUGUGUGAAGAAGGCCUUCGGGUUGUAAAGCACUUUCAGCGGGGAGGAAGGCGGUGAGGUUAAUAACCUCAUCGAUUGACGUUACCCGCAGAAGAAGCACCGGCUAACUCCGUGCCAGCAGCCGCGGUAAUACGGAGGGUGCAAGCGUUAAUCGGAAUUACUGGGCGUAAAGCGCACGCAGGCGGUCUGUCAAGUCGGAUGUGAAAUCCCCGGGCUCAACCUGGGAACUGCAUUCGAAACUGGCAGGCUAGAGUCUUGUAGAGGGGGGUAGAAUUCCAGGUGUAGCGGUGAAAUGCGUAGAGAUCUGGAGGAAUACCGGUGGCGAAGGCGGCCCCCUGGACAAA
Molecule: ribosomal RNA, 627 nt
Filed under: Klebsiella pneumoniae
Lineage: Bacteria; Pseudomonadati; Pseudomonadota; Gammaproteobacteria; Enterobacterales; Enterobacteriaceae
Description: bacterial SSU rRNA
Rfam family: Bacterial small subunit ribosomal RNA
Source: RNAcentral